CCUACGGGUGGCAGCAGUGGGGAAUCUUUCACAAUGGGGGAAACCCUGAUGCAGCAACGCCGCGUGAGGGAAGACGGUUUUCGGAUUUUAAACCUCUGUUCUUAGGGAAGAAUAAUGACGGUAGCUAAGCAGCAAACCACGGCUAACUACGCGCCAGCAGCCGCGGUAAUACGUAGGUGGGAACCGUUGUCCGGAAUUACUGGGUGUAAAGGGAGCGUAGGCGGGAAGGUAAGUCAGCUGUGAAAACUACGGGCUUAACUUGUAGACUGCAGUUGAAACUGGUUGUCUAGAGUGAAGGAGAGGUAGGCGGAAUUCCGGGUGUAGCAGUGAAAUGCGUAGAUAUUGGGAGGAACACCGGUGGCGAAGGCGGGUAACUGGACUUUAACUGACGCUGAGGCUCGAAAGUGUGGGGAGCAAACAGGAUUAGAUACCCUUGUAGUC
Molecule: ribosomal RNA, 441 nt
Filed under: uncultured bacterium
Lineage: Bacteria
Description: partial 16S ribosomal RNA
Rfam family: Bacterial small subunit ribosomal RNA
Source: RNAcentral